This 471-nucleotide ribosomal RNA is filed under the name uncultured bacterium. Its description in RNAcentral is "bacterial SSU rRNA". It matches the Rfam family "Bacterial small subunit ribosomal RNA", at positions 335 to 801 of the family's 1533-position model. The record is from RNAcentral.
ACUCCUACGGGAGGCAGCAGUGGGGAAUAUUGCACAAUGGGCGCAAGCCUGAUGCAGCCAUGCCGCGUGUAUGAAGAAGGCCUUCGGGUUGUAAAGUACUUUCAGCAGUGAGGAAGGCGGAGUCGUUAAUAGCGGCCUCGUUUGACGUUAGCUGCAGAAGAAGCACCGGCUAACUCCGUGCCAGCAGCCGCGGUAAUACGGAGGGUGCGAGCGUUAAUCGGAAUUACUGGGCGUAAAGCGCAUGCAGGCGGCCUGUUAAGUCAGAUGUGAAAGCCCGGGGCUUAACCUCGGAAUUGCAUUUGAAACUGGCAGGCUAGAGUCUUGUAGAGGGGGGUAGAAUUUCAGGUGUAGCGGUGAAAUGCGUAGAGAUCUGAAGGAAUACCAGUGGCGAAGGCGGCCCCCUGGACAAGACUGACGCUCAGAUGCGAAAGCUGGGGAGCAAACAGGAUUAGAUACCCUGGUAGGAUAGCG